RNAcentral lists this transfer RNA (92 nucleotides) under Blumeria graminis f. sp. tritici. It matches the Rfam family "tRNA". From Rfam's summary of the family: Transfer RNA (tRNA) molecules are approximately 80 nucleotides in length. Lineage: Eukaryota; Fungi; Ascomycota; Leotiomycetes; Helotiales; Erysiphaceae. The record is from Rfam by way of RNAcentral. RNAcentral also lists the same sequence under 1 other name.
GGGCGCUUGGUCUAGGGGUAUGAUUUUCGUUUCGCAUCAACGCCAAGGAGCAUGUCUACGAAAGGUCGUGGGUUCAAUUCCCACAGCGUCCA